RNAcentral lists this RNase P RNA (313 nucleotides) under Klebsiella pneumoniae. Its description in RNAcentral is "RNase P RNA component class A". The stretch from base 33 to 311 matches the Rfam family "Bacterial RNase P class A", at positions 19 to 313 of the family's 367-position model. Rfam says of the family: Ribonuclease P (RNase P) is a ubiquitous endoribonuclease, found in archaea, bacteria and eukarya as well as chloroplasts and mitochondria. Its best characterised activity is the generation of mature 5'-ends of tRNAs by cleaving the 5'-leader elements of precursor-tRNAs. Cellular RNase Ps are ribonucleoproteins. Lineage: Bacteria; Pseudomonadati; Pseudomonadota; Gammaproteobacteria; Enterobacterales; Enterobacteriaceae. The record is from RNAcentral.
UCGCCCCCCUGGGGGGGGGGAGGGGGGGGGGGGAGGAAACCCCGGCCCCAAGGGGGCAAGGGGCCGGGUAACGCGGGGGGGGUGCCACCCCCCACGCCCAGUAAAAAAGAGAGAAAACCGCCGAUGGCCCGCGCAAGCGGGAUCAGGUAAGGGUGAAAGGGUGCGGUAAGAGCGCACCGCGCGGCUGGUAACAGUCCGCGGCACGGUAAACUCCACCCGGAGCAAGGCCAAAUAGGGGUUCAUAAGGUACGGCCCGUACUGAACCCGGGUAGGCUGCUUGAGCCAGUGAGCGAUUGCUGGCCUAGAUGAAUGA